GAAGCCCAUCCAGCAAGAGAAUGUUUUUGAGUGACCUGAUGCAUCGCUUCUGCUUAGCUGGAAUGUGGUUAAUGAAGAAUGGAAGGAACUAGACCUUCAGAAAACUGCUCUUCUUGAAAGGAUGAAAAAAGUGUUGCACAGGACAUCUUUCUGCCGGUCAAAAAUGUUGGGAGUGAAGUGCUGGUUUGUUCUUCCAAGAGACUGGAG
This is a long non-coding RNA of Ficedula albicollis (Collared flycatcher), 207 nucleotides long. RefSeq lists it as uncharacterized. The record is from RefSeq and is a predicted model, not a curated record. The transcript has 3 exons. NCBI's taxonomy places the organism in Eukaryota, Metazoa, Chordata, Aves, Passeriformes, Muscicapidae.